This 291-nucleotide ribosomal RNA is filed under the name uncultured bacterium. RNAcentral describes it as "partial 16S ribosomal RNA". It matches the Rfam family "Bacterial small subunit ribosomal RNA", at positions 505 to 796 of the family's 1533-position model. The record is from RNAcentral.
GUGUCAGCCGCCGCGGUAAUACGAAGGGGGCUAGCGUUCUCGGAAUCACUGGGCGUAAAGGGUGCGUAGGCGUGUCUUUAAGUCAGGGGUGAAAUCCUGGAGCUCAACUCCAGAACUGCCUUUGAUACUGAGGAUCUUGAGUCCGGGAGAGGUGAGUGGAACUGCGAGUGUAGAGGUGAAAUUCGUAGAUAUUCGCAAGAACACCAGUGGCGAAGGCGGCUCACUGGCCCGGUACUAACGCUGAGGCACGAAAGCGUGGGGAGCAAACAGGAUUAGAUACCCUCGUAGUCC